RNAcentral lists this long non-coding RNA (9650 nucleotides) under Medicago truncatula (barrel medic). RNAcentral describes it as "long non-coding RNA (MTRU_LNC006377)". Lineage: Eukaryota; Viridiplantae; Streptophyta; Magnoliopsida; Fabales; Fabaceae. The record is from RNAcentral.
UUGCACCAAUUUCUCUCAUCUCUCUAACAAAGUUUAUGUGAGUCAAAAUCGUCGGCAAGAUAGUGUUUCUAUUUUUGGAAAUUAAGUGGAAACUAAGUAUUUUUGGAAGAAAAAGACCUGACUUUUCAACGCUCCCUACCUAGUUUUCAGAAAGUUAUCUUUACAAAUAAUCUAAACUCGUUGCUGAUAUUCACAAAUAAGAAAGCUUGAAAGAUGUCUCACUUAAUAUCAGUGCUAGUUUUGUUGCUAGCAAUUAUCACUCUUACUAGCGCAGCAAGAAAUAUUAAUCCCAAAUAUGAGUCUGCACGAUCCAAUGGAUUUAUCAGUUACCAGCCCCCAACGACUGAUACACAAAAACUGGUUGGUCUCAAUCACAGGCGACGUAGACAUUUAGCACCGCCGCCUCCUCCUAAGAAGCCUCCACCAAUUCACGUCCCAGGAACACCACAACGACAGCCUCAUCAACACCCGAUACGCCCACCUCCUAAAAUGUAAGAAUUAAGAACUCACUAUUUGAGGAGGCUAAGUUCGUCCAAUAAACUAUUCCCUCCGGUUAUAAUUUAUAAGAAAAAAAAUUUGUUUUUGAGAUUCAUUAAAUACUUAAUAUAUAUUAAAUACAUUAAAUAUUCAAUGAAUUCAAAAAAUAGUUUUUUUCUCUUAUAAAUAUGACCCAAGGAAAUCAAGUUAAUAUCAUUUUUCAUAGUAUAUUUUAUAUCUUUCUUGUAAUUUUGAUUUAUAUGUUUCUAUUAUCUUUUAGUGUGCUUAAGAUUUUACCAUAUGGAUAAUAAUGAUUUAUUCAUAAUAUUAUUUGAGAAGUGUAUUGUUCAUUAAGGAAAAGAACAAAAAUGAAUGAGGAAAUGUCGUUAAUUGUAUUUGAUAGUUUUUCUAAUGUUUUUUUUUUUUUGACAAAAGUUUUGCUAAUGUUUAUUUUCUUAGUUUAGCAUCUUUAAUUUUCAUAGUUCCAUAUAUUUAGUUUAUUUGGAGCCUAUCAACGAUAUUCCGGUUUAAAUCUUGAUGAUAAUGUCUAACCUAAUAAUAUUUGAUAUUUAUCGGUUUAGAUAUGUCUUGCAAACAAAACACAACCGAUUAUAUCAUACUUAUAUUUAUAAAUAACAAAUUUUAUACCCGUCAAUAACGUUGAGACUACCCUCAUUUACACACAUUUAUCUUAUUGUCAUGAUGGAACAUUCAUAUAAUGUUGGAAGAAAAAUUGGAAGAUUAAACACCAAAUAUUAUACUUUGAUCUAAUGUUGUGUACAUUGAAAAAAUAGUGUGGAGGUUCCACAUAAAAUAGAACACACACAUUAGUAGUGUUUAAAUUACGGUAUUUAAUUUUAAAUAUUUGAUAAUGAUAAAAAUAAUAGUAAUUAUUAUUUUUAUUCAAGUACUAUUAAGAUCAUAGUUCCUUUUUGGAAUAAUAAUGUCCCGUCGAAAUUAAGAAUGAUCUUAAAUGUAUAUAAACAUUCUUUCAAAAAAUUUCUAAUUGAGGAGAAAUUAAAAAGUGGAAAUAGUGGUAUCAGCAUAUUUGAGUGGUCGUAGUGCCAUAUUGAUAUUUUGGAGAAUUAAAGUUAAAAUGGUGGUAACACCAUAUUUGAGUGGUCUCAGCACCAUAAGAGAGUGGUAACAAUACCAUAUUAAAGUGGUUUCAACAUUAAAGAGUGGUCUUACUAUCAUAUUGAAGGUGUAAUUCUCGAACGGUUUUCUACACUGCAAUAGUUAAUCGAACAGUUCUAACCGGGCUUGUUUUAUAUCCUGCAGACGGCGUGGUUAAUAGUCUGUCUUGAACAAUUUUGAGCAGUGUCAUGAAAUGUUUUAUAGAGAGCGACCUGAUCGUGACUCAACCUAGUAACCAGUGGCGGAGCCCUAUCAACGAUUAUAGGUCUAUUUUGCGAGAUUUUAUGCAAUUUUGUGUCAGUUUUAUGUUUUGGUUGAUCCAAAUUCUUGCAAAGUGGUGUAGUGGCCCACCCGAAAAUUUAAAUGAUUCAAUUAUAGGUCUAUUUUGUGAGAUUUUAUACAAUUUUAUGUCGGUUUUAGGUUUCGGUUGAUCCAAAUUCCCGCAAAUUGGUGUAGUGGCCCACCCGAAAAAUUUAAAUAAUUCAAUUAUGAGUCUAAUUUGCGAGACUUUAAACAAUUUUUCAAUAGUUAAUUUUAGUGGCCCACCCUGACAUUUUUUUCUGGCUGGCUCCGCCACUAGUAACAACUUCGAUAGAUAAUAUAAUUUAGAAAUUCAAAUAAAACAGUUUGAAAAUCCAAUUGUCAUGCAAAUUUACUAUUUAGCAAUGUACUGGUUUAUGUCAAACCACUGUCAAUUGAAUUACUCCAAUUUAGCCAAACUCCAAUAUAUAUUUAGCAAUGUACUGAUUUGUUGUUAAUUAGAAAUUUUUAAUGACUUAAUAGAUUUAAAAUCUUUGUGAGCAACAAAUUACAAGCAUUGUUUUAAAUAUAUAAAUCUUUCAAAUGAUGCAUCUAUGCCACUAUUUCUUUAAAUUAGAGUUUGUACUUUGUACACCUGCUGUUGUUUUGUGAAUUUCUAUUUGUUCUCAUGCCUUCCAUAUUGAAAUGAAGAUAUAGAAGAAAAAAUAUGCUGAAACUAGCUAAUUUUCGCAGACUAAACACUAUUAAAUUAGUCUCCAACUUUUUGUGAUGUUCUCAAAAAGUGCCUUCCAUACUAAUAUGAAGAUAUGGAAAGAAUAAUUCAAAAAGAUUAGUCAAUUUCUUUUUGUGUUAACUCUUCGAUUUUUAGGAAAAGAGAUUAUAGUAAUCUCGAGUACAUCUGUAAGGUAAGUAAAAUUUGAGCUAUAAUUGUUUCACUCAUUAAAUAAACUCAUAUGUCAUAAACAAUAUGUUCUUUAAUGAAAUUUAUUAACCACUCAAGUGUGAUUGCUUGUUUAAGAUUAGUCAAUUUACUCUUAUUAGUUCUUCAAAGAGUAUGUUAGGGACUAAUUUGAAUUUUUUUUUUAUCGCAAGGGACUAAUUCGAUUGAAAGUGGAUAAAUUUAGAGAUCAAACUAGUAAAUGAUUAAAUACAAACCCACUUGGGUUGACCUAGUGGUAUUGGUUUGGGACCUUAGAGUGUGCUCCUUCUCAAGGCUCAUGUUCGAUUCUCUUUGGUGCUAAUUUAGGUGGGUUAAUUUAAUUUCUUAAAUAAAAAGUGAUUAAAUACAAAAAGAACUUGAUAGUUUAAUAGAGUUAGAAAUAAUUUUGGUAUACUCAUAAUUUCAUAAACCAAUCCGAGAAUGUUAUACAAAAUCAUAGUCUAAUUUUAUGAUACCUCUAUUUCUUUUUGGUAAAUAGAGAUAACUUUCAUUAACCAACACAAUUAUUAUAAACCACAUGGAAUUAGGAAACAACUAAACAAAGAAACAAGAGUUAAGCUCAAACAAACAAAAAGAACCAUUAGCUUCGCACCCGAAUCAUCAGAGUUUGCACCUUCUUGAAUUGCAAUCCUAUAAUGUAAGCAUCCAUCUUGAUUUGGUUAAGGGGUUGUUGAACAGAUCGGUAACAAUUCUGAAAUCUUCUAUCAUUCCUCUCCUUCCAGAUCAUAUAGAGGGUCACACUCAACACCAUUCUAUGAGUUUGAUGCAUGUCAUUGUUACUGUUACAAUGAGACUGGAUAUAUUGCAAAAUAGAUUGCCAAUUGCUUAUAUUGACACUCAUAUUCAUCCAUCUCAUAGCACCUUUCUAAACAACAUCAUCAUAUUCACAAGAAAAAAAAAGGUGAGAAUGAGUUUCAUUCUCCUUUGUACACAAAAUGCAAACCUGGUCACAUUGGAUACCUACUUUAAGCAUCCUCUCACAUCUCCGAUGUUUUUACAAAACAACAUCCUAAUUCCAAACACAUAAAAAAAAAAAAAAAGGUUAAUAGAGCUUUACCCCCUGUAAUAUAGGGCACUUUUGGUUUCCCCCCUGUAAAGUAUUUUUUUUUAGAUUCUGUCCUUGUAAAAUAAGGAUUCUUCAAGAUUGCCGCUUGAGCCCUGUGACUCAACAGAGUCUAUGAUGUGACAUUUUAUUUUAUUUUUCAAUUUUUUUGGAUGCCACGUGCAAAAAAGAAUUUACAUGUCAUUUAUAAUUAAAAAAGUAAAAAAAUAUAUUUUUUUUUAAAAACGAAAAAUCUUUUUUUAAUUAUUUUUUAAAAAGCUCAAAUUAUUUUAAAAAUCAGAAAAAAAUACUAAUUAUUUUCAAAAAAUUGAAAAAAAAAUCAAUUUUUUUUUCAAAAAUUAAAAAAAUUGAAAAUUUUAUUUUGAAAAUGAAAUUCCAGAUUUUUUUUUAUUUUAGCUCAAAAAAAUGACAUGGAAAAUGUAUUUUACAUGUGGCAUUAAAAAAAAUUGAAAAAAAAAAUGCCACGUUAGUGACACAUCAAAGAUUCUGCUGAGUCACAGUGCAUAGGUGACAAUCUUGAAGAAUCUUUAUUUUACAAGGACGGAAUCUAAAAAAAUAAAAUUACAAGGGGGAAAAUCAAAAGUGCUCUAUAUUACAGGGGUUAAAGCCCUAUAAACCCUAAAAAAAUAUUCGGUUUUUUGCGGUUUUUAAUUUUUUUUGGAUUAGUUUACGGUUUUUUUAUCGGUUUGAAUUUGAACACCCCUAAAACCAUCUCCAAUGGGAGAUCUUCAACAUUUAAGACCCGAUAUCUAUUAGGUACCCCCAUUUGGGAGAAAAAAUUUCAAGGUCUUAUAAGACCAUGGGGGGUCUCACUUAAGACCCUCAAUCUUAAGCGGGACCCACUCUAUUUUAAUAUUAAAAAAUUGAAAUAUAAUGAUAUAAAGUUAUUGAUAGUUGCUUAUCGUGGCUCAUUUAAGUAAUUUGUAUGAGAUGCUGGGUUGGAAGGAUUGAGUACUUAUUAGAUACUUCCUCCGUUUCAAAAUACUUGUCCAUUUUGAAGAAAUUACACAUACCAAUGAAUCAAAUAAAUGUUGUCAUUUUUUAUGAAAUUCUUUGUGUCUUUUUCUAUAAUACCCUGCUCAUUUAUUAUUUCAUUCAAUUAUUUCUCUCUCAACAAUAAAUAGGUAAGGGUAAUAUUGAUAAACCAAUAAUUAAUGUUGCAUUGAAACUUCAAAGUGACAAGUAAAAUGAAACAAAAUAAUUCUCCAAAAUGGACAAGUAUUGUGAAAUGGAGGGAGUACUACUCUUAAAUAAUUAUAAAUAAGUGAUGUAUCCGUAAGACUCAUUUAAAUAUUUAAAAAUGAAUAUCUCCAUUAUAGAUGCUGUAAUAAAGAAUAUAACUUUUUAUUAAAAAAUUUUGUAAUUAUUACAUCAACAAAAAUAACAAUUUUUUUUUUGAAGAAACAAAAAUAACAACUUGUUUUAUAAAAAAAGUAAAAACUUAUUUCAAAGACAUACUGUCAUUUAAUACAAUUCUUUUUUCUUUUUUGACCAAACAUUUAAUACAAUUCUUAAAAAACUUGUGAAGCUGGUUUCUUAAGAAACAAAAUGACUAUACGGCCCAUGUUAAAGCAACCUCUCUCGCCAACUUCUUCACAAUCAAACAAGAGAAAUUUGGCAUCUUGAUCUCACCAAUAAUUCUCUCAUCUCUCUUUCACUGAAAAGUCUAACAAGGUUUAUGUGGGUCAAAAUCGUCGACAAGAUAGUUUUUCUUGUUGGGAAGUUAAGUGGAAAUGAAGUAUUUUUUGGAAGAAAAAGACCAAACUUUUCUACGCUCCCUACAUAGUUUUGAGAAAUUGUUAUCAUUACAAAUAACCUAAACUCGUUGCUGAUAUUCACAAAUAAGAAAGCUUGAAAGAUGUCUUACUUAAUAUCCAUGCUAGUUUUGUUGCUAGCAAUUAUCACUCUUACAACCGUAGCAGGAAAUAUUAAUCCCAAAUAUGAGUCUGCACGAUCCAAUGGAUUCAUCAGUUACCAGCCCCCAACAACUGAUACACAAAAACUGGUUGGUCUCGAUUACAGGCGACGUAGACAUGCACCACCGCCGCCACCUCAAUAUCGUCCCAGAAUUAACUACCCAGGAACACCACACCAACAGCCUCAUCGACACCAGUUACGCCCACCUCCUAAAAUGUAAGAAUUAAGAACUCACCAUUUGAGGAGGCUAAGUUGGUCCAAUAAACUACUCUCUCCUGUUAUGUUUAAAAAAAAAAAAAAAAGUUUUUUUUAGAUUCAUUGAAUACUUGAUACAUAUUAUAAACCAAAUAUAUUAAGUAUUCAAUAAAUCUAACAAUCAGUUUUUUUUAGUUUAUAAAUGUAACUGAAGGACAAUUAACAUCAUCGUUGAUAGUAUAUUUUAUGUCUUUCACUAAAAAAAGUAUAUUUUAUGUCUUAGUUGUUAUUUUGAUUUAUAUAUUUUCUGUACUUUUUAGUGUGCUUAAGAUUUUACCAUAUGGAUAAUAAUGAUUUAUCCAGAAUAUUAUAUAAUAAGUGUAUUAAUUGUUCAUUAAGGAAAAGAACAAAAAUAAAUGUGGAAACGUCUUUAAUUGUAUUUGAUAGUUUUUUUUUAUUGUUUAUUUUAUCUUUAAUUUUCUUAGUUCCAUAUUUUUAAUUUAUUUGGAGCCUGUCAACGAUAUUCCGGGUUGGAAUCCAGUUAAUAAUAUGUCUAACAUAAUAAUAUUGUUAUUUGUCGGUUGAGUUAUGUCUUACGAACAACGACGCAAUUUAUUAGUAUAUCAUAUUUAAUAUCUUUUGUCAAAAAAAAAAAUCAUACCUUUUUUUUUUUUUUUUUAUUUAAGGAGAAAUCAUACUUAAUAUCUACUGUGUGAAUAGAAUUACUCAAAUUUAGCCAAACUGCAAUAUAUAUGCUCCCAUUCACUUUAUACAUUUUCCGGUACUGAUUUGUUGUUGGAAAUUGUUAAAGACUUACCAGAUUUAAAAUAUAUUUGAGUAAACUAAAUCAGAAAAUAUCAUAUCAUCUUUUGUUUGAUUUCCUUACAACUUUUUUUGGUCAAGUAGGCAAACAGCCAGAGAAAUUCACUUUAAAUGUGAAUAAGUAGGAUGUUGGGGGUUCAAACUCCAGCCUCUACAUAUAUAUGCAUUAUCCAAUACUAAAUAAGUUAAUCUUACAGGAACCCCCAUACAUACAAUUUACAUGGUAUAUUUAUUAUUUUUUCAACAAACAUACCUCUUAUUAAUAUUACUAAUUUAUCCUUGAAAAUGAAAAGUUAAAAUUAAACACUAAUUUAUUUCAAUGUUUUCCAACUUCAAAGUUAUUGUUAAAUCGGCGCACAUUACUACUUUGUUUAAUAUGACAUCUUCAUAUAAGUGAUUUAAAAAAAAAAUAGUGGUAUUUGAACAACCAUUUCAUACAACUUUUGGUGACAAUUUCUUUUCUCUCUUUUCAUUGGUUAAAAAUAAUGGAGAGAGAAAAAUGAAGAGAGAAAAUAAGAGGAUAAUGCGAGUAUGAGAGAUAAAGUUAUAAAAAAAUCGUCAUAAAAUGGAUGUACAAAUAUUAUUUCUCUUAAAAAAAAAAAAAGGGGUUGACAUCGUUCUAUAUAACUAUAAAUUACUAAUAAGAUAUAGUUAAAGUGGCCCCAUACGAACACAUCAUUUGUUCAAUCAAUUUUUAAAGGUAAUGUUUAAUAAGUAUUUAUUUAUUCCAAUCUAACAACUCUUCAAAAAUUAUUAAGUGGGUCCUACAAAUAACUUUACAUUAGUACUUUUUAAAAACAAUUAAUAUGUUUGUGCAAUUUGCUCAUUAUUUAGCAAAGACGAUUCCGUGUCAUGUUAGUUUCCGUGUUCAUAUUAGAACUCUAUCAUAUAUCUCUAUUAUUAUUAUAAAUGAAAUGCACUAAAUUUUCCUUUGUAAAAACAGUUUGUGCAACAUUAUUAUUUUUUAAAUAUGAAGAAAACAUUGAAUAGAGAGUAUGCAAUACAAGAGAGAGACAAUACUUUUACUACAAGCUUUGCAUCUAAAUAACAGUGCUUCUUAUUUCUUCUCCAUUGAUAACAAAAAAGGACUUGUUUCUACCUACUAAGUAACAAAAUAGUCUUUGUCAAAAAAAAAAAAAAGUAACAAAAUAGUCAAUAGUAAGCAUUUUCUUCAAAUCUUCACUUGAAUUACCAUUGACCAAACAAUGCUACGAUAUACUCAACUAUUGAGUUUCCUUUGAUCUUUGAUAAAAUGUCAAUUAUAAGAUGGACAAUUUAAAUGAGAAAACCCCUAAAUUUCAUUUUAAGGUGAAAUGAUCAAAGUCCUUUACUUUAUGUUACCAACUUACUCAAAUUAAAACCAUGAGAUCAUCUCACUCUAACGUACCAAAAUUCAAUCAAGUCUAAGUUACUCCAUUUAUUCUCUAAUUACAAAAGUUUAUAUGAAUUUUCAGAGAGAUGAAUGCGAUGAGGGUUUGAACAAGAUAAAGAGAAAAUGUCAUAAUUUAAAAAAAUAGAUUGUUAAAACUUAUAUAAUUUUUGAGAAUAUAAGAGAAGUGAACAUGUAUAAAUUUUGUGAAAAUAUACGAUUGAAUCAAUUCAUUCAAAUCUAGAACAUAAGUGUGAAUCGAUUCAUAAGUUAGAGACUUUUAAAGCACUAUUUUAAAGAAAAAUAGGGAGUGAAUCGAUUCAUUCAACCUCGGAAAAGGAUUUGUGAAUCGAUUCAUAAGUCAAAGAGUUAAACCUCUUAAAAAAAAUAAUUCAUUCAAAUCAUAAACGAGGUAUGAACCGAUUCACUUAACUUAAAGUGUAAUAAAUCAUGUUUUUUUAUUAUGUGAAUUGAUUUUCACAUACCCCAAAAUUAAUUUUUUUUUUAUGCUAACAUAACUUCCAAAAACAUUAUUCAUUGAAAUUUCAAAGGGACGGUGAUGUGAUACUUAGAAGUUACUUAGUUACAUCAAUUAUAAACUUAUUUUUUGUCCUCUAAUUGAAAUGAAUUCUUAUACACUAAAAAUAAUAUGUACUUACAUGAUGCACUUAAUUAGUUAAAAAUUAUUUAAUUGAUGCACUUCGUUAAUAUAAAAAAUAUUACAGUGUUGGUAAUCAAUGGAUUCACAUUGACACCACAAUUAUUUUCACUUUUCAAAAUAUUAUAAUACUCCCUCCGUCCCUAAUUAUAAGACCCUUUUGAGAAUUUUUUUUGUCCCUUUUUAUAAGAUNUUGGAAUAAUAAUGUCCCGUCGAAAUUAAGAAUGAUCUUAAAUGUAUAUAAACAUUCUUUCAAAAAAUUUCUAAUUGAGGAGAAAUUAAAAAGUGGAAAUAGUGGUAUCAGCAUAUUUGAGUGGUCGUAGUGCCAUAUUGAUAUUUUGGAGAAUUAAAGUUAAAAUGGUGGUAACACCAUAUUUGAGUGGUCUCAGCACCAUAAGAGAGUGGUAACAAUACCAUAUUAAAGUGGUUUCAACAUUAAAGAGUGGUCUUACUAUCAUAUUGAAGGUGUAAUUCUCGAACGGUUUUCUACACUGCAAUAGUUAAUCGAACAGUUCUAACCGGGCUUGUUUUAUAUCCUGCAGACGGCGUGGUUAAUAGUCUGUCUUGAACAAUUUUGAGCAGUGUCAUGAAAUGUUUUAUAGAGAGCGACCUGAUCGUGACUCAACCUAGUAACCAGUGGCGGAGCCCUAUCAACGAUUAUAGGUCUAUUUUGCGAGAUUUUAUGCAAUUUUGUGUCAGUUUUAUGUUUUGGUUGAUCCAAAUUCUUGCAAAGUGGUGUAGUGGCCCACCCGAAAAUUUAAAUGAUUCAAUUAUAGGUCUAUUUUGUGAGAUUUUAUACAAUUUUAUGUCG